RNAcentral lists this ribosomal RNA (548 nucleotides) under uncultured bacterium. RNAcentral describes it as "partial 16S ribosomal RNA". It matches the Rfam family "Bacterial small subunit ribosomal RNA", at positions 355 to 898 of the family's 1533-position model. The record is from RNAcentral.
UGGGGAAUUUUGGACAAUGGGCGAAAGCCUGAUCCAGCAAUGCCGCGUGUGUGAAGAAGGCCUUCGGGUUGUAAAGCACUUUUGUCCGGAAAGAAAUCCUUGGCUCUAAUACAGUCGGGGGAUGACGGUACCGGAAGAAUAAGCACCGGCUAACUACGUGCCAGCAGCCGCGGUAAUACGUAGGGUGCAAGCGUUAAUCGGAAUUACUGGGCGUAAAGCGUGCGCAGGCGGUUUGCUAAGACCGAUGUGAAAUCCCCGGGCUCAACCUGGGAACUGCAUUGGUGACUGGCAGGCUAGAGUAUGGCAGAGGGGGUAGAAUUCCACGUGUAGCAGUGAAAUGCGUAGAGAUGUGGAGGAAUACCGAUGGCGAAGGCAGCCCCUGGGCCAAUACUGACGCUCAUGCACGAAAGCGUGGGGAGCAAACAGGAUUAGAUACCCUGGUAGUCCACGCCCUAAACGAUGUCAACUAGUUGUUGGGGAUUCAUUUCCUUAGUAACGUAGCUAACGCGUGAAGUUGACCGCCUGGGGAGUACGGUCGCAAGAUUAAA